RNAcentral lists this ribosomal RNA (511 nucleotides) under Fennerogalathea chacei. RNAcentral describes it as "partial 16S ribosomal RNA". It matches the Rfam family "Bacterial large subunit ribosomal RNA", at positions 1831 to 2597 of the family's 2925-position model. The record is from RNAcentral. Lineage: Eukaryota; Metazoa; Arthropoda; Malacostraca; Decapoda; Galatheidae.
GUCUAUAUGAAGUUAUAUAAAGUCUAGCCUGCCCGUUGAAAUAAAUGAAAGGCCGCGGUAUAAUUAACUGUGCAAAGGUAGCAUAAUUAGUAGUCUUUUAAUUGAAGGCUUGUAUGAAGGGUUGGACAAAAAAUAAGCUGUUUCUAUUUUUGUUUUUGAAUUUGUCUUUUAAGUGAAAAGACUUAAAUUAUUUUAAGGGACGAUAAGACCCUAUAAAUCUUUAUAUUAAUAUGUUUUUAUUUAAGUUUUUUAUGUAUAUUAAAAUAAAAAUUAUAAGAUAUUGUAUUGGGGUGAUAAGAAUAAUGAAUAAACUGUUCUAAUUAUAAACAAAGUUAUUUGGAAAAUAAUAGAUCCUUUUUAGAGAUUAAGAGUUUAAGUUACUUUAGGGAUAACAGCGUUAUUUUUUUUGAGAGUUCUAAUCGAAAAAAAAGUUUGCGACCUCGAUGUUGAAUUAAAAUUUCUUUAUGGUGUAGCCGUUAUAAAAGAGAGUCUGUUCGACUUUUAAAAUUUU